This 397-nucleotide ribosomal RNA is filed under the name uncultured bacterium. RNAcentral's name for it is "bacterial SSU rRNA". It matches the Rfam family "Bacterial small subunit ribosomal RNA", at positions 359 to 775 of the family's 1533-position model. The record is from RNAcentral.
GAAUCUUCGGCAAUGGGCGAAAGCCUGACCGAGCGACGCCGCGUGGAGGAUGAAGGCCUUCGGGUCGUAAACUCCUAAAAGAGGGACGAUAGUGACGGUACCUCUUGAAAAGCACCGGCUAACUCCGUGCCAGCAGCCGCGGUAAUACGGAGGGUGCAAGCGUUAUCCGGAAUCACUGGGCGUAAAGGGCGCGUAGGCGGUCUGUUAAGUCCGAUGUUAAAGGCUGGGGCUCAACCCCAGUAAAGCGUUGGAUACUGGCAGGCUAGACGGUUGGAGAGGCGAGUGGAAUUACCAGUGUAGCGGUGAAAUGCGUAGAUACUGGUAGGAACACCCAUGGCGAAGGCAGCUCGCUGGACAACCCGUGACGCUGAGGCGCGAAAGUGUGGGGAGCAAACCG